Molecule: non-coding RNA, 73 nt
Organism: Pangasianodon gigas (Mekong giant catfish)
Lineage: Eukaryota; Metazoa; Chordata; Actinopteri; Siluriformes; Pangasiidae
Source: the annotation of a GenBank genome assembly
CUCGUUAGAGACCAUCAAAAAUUGCCACGGCUGACUAUUUUUCAAGUCAUCCAGGCGGGGUAUUGGGUAAAGU